Long non-coding RNA from Priapulus caudatus, 244 nucleotides. RefSeq lists it as uncharacterized. The record is from RefSeq and is a predicted model, not a curated record. Lineage: Eukaryota; Metazoa; Priapulida; Priapulimorpha; Priapulimorphida; Priapulidae. The transcript is spliced from 3 exons.
GACGUAUCAGAGCCUCACCGAACUCCGCCGUGAAGCAGAACAGGAGCUACUGGACACGCGUGCCAAACGCAAGAAGGUGAAGGAAGAAAUGGCAAAGAGAAGAACCUAUGCAUCGCAGAAGAGAAUGAAGAUUCUCACCCAGCUGGCCUCAGGGAAAUCUGAAAAAAGCCAAGGCGGGAAAAAGGAAGAUACGUUUGGCAUGGAUGAAUCUGAUUGGAAUGUCUACAAAGAGAUCGUAAGUAAA